RNAcentral lists this ribosomal RNA (497 nucleotides) under uncultured bacterium. Its description in RNAcentral is "partial 16S ribosomal RNA". It matches the Rfam family "Bacterial small subunit ribosomal RNA", at positions 28 to 507 of the family's 1533-position model. The record is from RNAcentral.
GAUGAACGCUGGCGGCGUGCCUAAUACAUGCAAGUCGAGCGAACAGACGAUGAGCUUGCUCCUCUGACGUUAGCGGCGGACGGGUGAGUAACACGUGUAUAACCUACCUAUAAGACUGGUAUAACUUCGGGAAACCGGAGCUAAUACCGGAUAAUAUAUUGAACCGCAGGGUUCAAUGGUGAAAUACGGUUUUGCUGGCACUUAUCGAUGGAUCCGCGCCGCAUUAGCUAGUUGGUAAGGUAACGGCUUACCAAGGCAACGAUGCGUAGCCGACCUGAGAGAGUGAUCGGCCACACUGGAACUGGGACACGGUCCAGGGGACUACGGUAGGCAGCAGUAGGGAAUCUUCCGCAAUGGGCGAAAGCCUGACGGAGCAACGCCGAGUGAGUGAUGAAGGCCUUCGGAUCGUAAAACUCUGUUAUUAGGGAAGAACAAAUGUGUAAGUAACUAUGCACGUCUUGACGGUACCUAAUCAGAAAGCCACGGCUAACUACGUG